AGUGAACGCUGGCGGUAGGCCUAACACAUGCAAGUCGAACGGCAGCACAGUAAGAGCUUGCUCUACCGGUUGGGCGGUGCGGUCCGGGGGGGGAAUCAACGGGAAUGUAUUUUUCCUGGGGGCUUAAGGUAGGAAACCUAAGCUAAAUCCAGUACCGCACUAUGGGGGUAAUUACGGGAUAAUUGGUACUUGGGCGGAUUUAUGACCCUAUGUCGGGUUAGCUAGUUGGCGGGGUAAAGGCCCAACAAGGCGACGAUCCGUAGCUGGUCUGAGAGGAUGAUCAGCCACACUGGAACUGAGACACGGUCCAGACUCCUACGGGAGGCAGCAGUGGGGAAUAUUGGACAAUGGGCGCAAGCCUGAUCCAGCCAUACCGCGUGGGUGAAGAAGGCCUUCGGGUUGUAAAGCCCUUUUGUUGGGAAAGAAAAGCAGCAGGUUAAUACCCCGCUGUUCUGACGGUACCCAAAGAAUAAGCACCGGCUAACUUCGUG
Molecule: ribosomal RNA, 491 nt
Filed under: uncultured bacterium
Lineage: Bacteria
Description: partial 16S ribosomal RNA
Rfam family: Bacterial small subunit ribosomal RNA
Source: RNAcentral